Molecule: long non-coding RNA, 14235 nt
Organism: Chiroxiphia lanceolata (lance-tailed manakin)
Lineage: Eukaryota; Metazoa; Chordata; Aves; Passeriformes; Pipridae
Exons: 3
Source: RefSeq, a predicted model, not a curated record
GCCGUCGGCGUUCCUCCUGCCCGCGUCCAAGAUGGUGGCGGGCGGGCGCCGAGCCGUUGCCUCUGUGUGCGGCGGCCUCGCUGGUGGGCGGGGGCGUUUCUCUCCGGUGUUUCUGCCCAUUUCCCGCGUCCUGUCUUCCUUGGUCGAAGCCCAGGGUGUUGUGGAGCAGGGGUGUCGGCAGCCCUCCCCGUGAGGAAAUCCGCUCCCUUCCCCCGCUGCUGGGCCUGGCCUGUCGGUGCAGCACCUUCGGCAGCAAUAGAACUGGAGGAGGGAGAGGUUUUGCCCGCCUGAGGCGAGGUGUGAGGCCUGUGCUGGAGCCAGGGCGUGAUAGUGCGUGCCUGCCGUUGCUGAGGGAAGACAUGUAUGGACUAUGCCUUUGAGGGACACGAGUGGCCAUAAGGCCUUUGUGAAUGCAUGGAGAAGAUAUGCGAUGGGGAGAAGGCAAGUUGUUAAACGUGUGAGGUUGGUGUCUGUCAAGAGGAUGUUGCGCUGGGAAAUGUGUCCAUGGAACUAGUCCUGACAGGAGCUGUGAUACCAGAACUCCCCAAAGACACCUUGAAAGUCUGGAUACGGCUGUUUUGUUGAACUAUGGCCACAGUAUCAAUGAGGUUUAUUUUUAAGAGUGAAAUAGAAAGUUGGAAACACUGGGUCGAAACCUUUCCCAGGAACAGUGGUCACUUCCUGACGACAUGGGAGGAGGAAUCAAGUUAAAUGCUUCUCUGUAAUUACUAAUCUUUCAAAGUUGCAUAGUCUUUUAACUACUGCAUAGAAAAUGGGUAUACACCAAUCAGUGACUUAUGAGCAUGAAUCUCUGUCAACAGUUAUCAGAACCACCCAAACCACAUAUAAAGCCUGAUUACUGCUGUGAGCAGAAGUCCACACUUUGACUUCUGUGGGGGAUAGGUAUGUACAUCAAAGAGCAUGAUCAAACCUAAGAACUGAGAAAGACAAACAGCAAUUAAUGCUGCAUCUUUAUUACAGUAGACCCGGUAUGAUCUUGAUUUUACAUCCGAACUAGGCUUCUGCUGUACAUGCAUUACUCUUCUGGAAAAAGAAGUCAGCUCCUUCCUAUUUCUCGUCUUUCAAAUCCAGUGUUGCACAACCAAGCAUCCAGACGUUGUAAUUCACGCUGUAGAGCAUCCUACCCACUGAAAUUAAUGGGAACUCUAAUGAAACUAAGAUGUAAGGAUGGCAACAUCUACCUUAGAGUAAAAAUGGAAAUGCCAACUAUGCUAUUAAAAAAGGCCAUAAUAUACAUGAGAGAAGAACCAUGAGUCCUACCAUUAUGGUAUCUAUUAAUCUUAAACUUUACAGCAUUAAAAUAUGGGAAGUUUUUAUUUGUUUGAAACACAGACCGACUUUUGAAAAAGAUAUGAGUAGAAAACAAACAGGUCGUAGUACAUAUUCUCCUUUUCAUCUUUGUCCAGAACUCCCACUGUUUUCUGUGCAGGAAAAACCAAUACAAUAUGGUCCAAUGUCUGUAAAUGAUAAAGCAAAAAGCAUUCCAUUAAUUUAUUUCUGAUUUAGUCUGGGUUAUAUUGUUUCAUACGUGUUUGAGACUCUUCAAGUUGCUUGGUUUAUGCAUGCAGCACAUAUAAAUAUUAACACUUGGAUAUUGUAGUAUUGCUUGAGCCUAUUGAACAAUUUUUAAAAAAUAAUUUCUAUACUGAAAAAAAGCUUCUUACAAUUAACUAUGACAAGGUGUAGAAUAUAGUUCUUAUAGAAAUCUAGUUGUGUUGAUAAACAGAAAUUGCAUAAAUACUGAGACACUAAAGUUCAACAGCCAACUUGUUAGAUGAAGAAAUGCCCAGUUCUACUGGAGAACACAUCAGAACGACUUUCAAAUAGGGAGCUGUGCUCUGAUUCCUGCAGCCAUUCUCAGCUUUGUCAGCAUGACGGCUAGAAUAGAGUAAAUUUAACACCAGAAGAGCUCUGGUCAGUCCACCUUCAGCCUUGCCUACCUUCACUGAAAAGGUUUGUACCUAAAGACUGCUACAUUUACUGAGGUGUGGUAGUUUUAAACAUUCCUCCUAAAGCACACCAAAAUGCCAGCUUUCAAUUAUCAUGCAAGUUACCUUUGUGGAUAGUUUAUACUCUUUUUUUUUUUUUUUUUUGUCUGUGCAGGGAACCAGAACUACUAAAAUACAGAUGUGUGGUUUCUGCCACCUUUGAUAUGGAGGCAAAAAUUCCUGGGAGAGUGUCAGUGUGGUUAGUCGGGACCUGUAACCUCUUCAACUGCUGGUACUCAGUAGAGGUGAUCUGCCUGACCGACUCCGAAAGCAAUAAUCCAUUGUUUGAACCACCUUGUCUCUCUCCUGCAGGGAGUUACCUCUUCUGUGGGACACCGAUCAAACCCAGGUGAUGUUGCACUUGAAUAAAUGAGAAAUUUUUGUGAGGUCUAUUUCUCCUGUUCUGCUGGGAUGGCAUGAACUCACAGUGGGAAAUAGAGUUUCUUAGAUCAACAUUGAGAUUGAGGUCAUGAAUAUACCUUGGGUUACUUUCUCUUUGCUUUUACCAAAUGUUAUACAUGAUUACUUGGUAGAAAAUAAACGAAGCAAAGAAAGAAAUGGGGAGAGAUAAGGCCGUUAGGUAAUCCAAUCAACUUUCCUGCUAGUACAGACUUACUUAGCUUGUUUAUUAGUAUGUUUCAAAUUAUUUUUUAAAUAACUAAAAGAAUUCCUCUGAAAAAUUUGCACAAGCUCUGCUCUUCGCUGCCAAUAAGAUUUUCUGACAUUCGGUCUUUCCCCACCCUCUUUUCAUUUACUCCUACUUGUUCCCAUAUGUAGAAGCCCAAGUAUUUCCUCUCCAUCCUUAAGGUUUGCAUUACUUAAGUAUUUGCUGGCUGGAGACAUGUCUCCAUGUACCUCUGCUUUAACAAAACUGGAUGAAUUAAGCUCUUUUAACCCUUCUCUAUAAAACCACUCUUCCAGAUAAUUCUUUCUGCUGCUCCUUAAAUUGCUUCAUUUGCCUCAAUGUUAUGAUGGAUGACACAGAAACAAUGCACAGACCAGCACUGAGUCUGCUAGGGAAAAGUUGUCCUUUUGGAAAAGUUUCAAUAAGCUUGAGCUGCCAAAAUGACUUUGCAUCACAUCAGUGCUCUGCAUCACUUGGCUGUAUUUUUGAGCACCCUAAACCAGGGUUUACUACCCAGUGAAUUUGUGGUGUGUCUUUUACUUGCUGAUACUGGACCUGUGUGCUGAAGGCAACCCUGCAUUGAGCACUAGUGGCUCAGGACUCCCCUGCUGUUUCAUUUUCCGUGCCAGCUUCAAGUCAUUGGAGGGCUUUGUUUCCAACAUUUGUAGCAUUGCAAAACUUUUGCAUGAAGAAAACAGAGGAGAUAUGAUUUAUUGGGAUUUUAAUAUUUCAGGAUUGUCUACAAGAUUUAUUUUCAGCAAACCCUUGUUACUUUUUACUCAAUGAAUAUUUUCAAGAUAAACAGGGGUAAAUUUGGGGGGUUUUAUUAUUUUACUUUGAUUUUCUGUUUGCUUAACCACUCAUCAUCAUAUGCCUUUUGUUAACCCAGUAGGAAAAAAUAUCCUCAAUUUCUGUAAGAAUUUUACAUUUUAGGAAUUAAAUGUAACAAUCCAGAAGUUACUUUCUCAGAGAAAGGGAUGAUGACUUUUUGAUUGGGCUUGUAAUUUAGGAUACACCUUUGCUCAGUGAGAGAGCCUGCUUUCAGCUUUGCCAUGUGGUUUACCAGUUCUCUCUAAUAAAAGCAAGGAUGCAGUAUUUUGCUGGCAAUAGUGCUAUCUGUACUAUCACUACUGUGAGCUGCAGUAUGAACUUUUGCUGUGGAUACAUGCCUGGAAAGAUGCAUGAAAUAAGUACUGGCCUCAUUCAUUUGACCACCACUUCAGGUUUCCCUACUGCUACAUCAGUGUCAUGCAAUUGCCAUAUAAUUGUCCCUCUCUCUCUGUGAUCCUGGCACCAGGCAGAGUGGACUGAUCUGAUCUUGGGUGACCUAAUUAGUUGUGAUCAGCAUACAGGUUUGAUAUAUAAAAAGUGAAACCAUGGAGGAGGCUGGCUAGAAAUGGGUGUUGUGUGGCUGUAGUAUAGUGAUACGAGGUGAAUGACAGACCAGUGUUACUUAACCUAAUGCAUUUGCAGUAUCCUCAUGCCCUGUCCCAUGCAGUAUUGUGCACUGGUUCAUAGAGAACUUGGGGGAUAGGACACAAAGGUCUCAAUCCCACCACAACCACCAGGUUAGCUUUGUGUGUAAGAGUACUGCCAGUGAAGGGAACUGCUCCCGUUCGCCCAUAUGUUGUUUAGAUUCCUUGUUAGUAUGCUCCAGACUUUCCAGAUUCAUUCCCCGAGGGUGCAGCAAUUCAGCCCUAUUUUGCUGUCAGCACAGUAUUACUGACUCCUCCAAUGUUUGGCAACCUGGCAGUUUCUGGUGUAAUGGAUAGAUAUUUUGGUGUGACAGCAAGGUGUGUGAUAUUUAUUCUACCCAUACUCCACAUUGAUUCAGCAAAGCUGGAACUUCCUAACACGGCGCUUCUCUCAACCAUAGUCUGGUAGAAAUCCAAGGCUGCUGACGUGGUAUAAUGUGGUAUGGUAUACCCACAGAAUCAUGCUGGGUAUCUGUGUAUCUGCUCAUUUUGUGGUAAAUCCCAUGUGUUAAAUUUUCUGCUUUUAGAGGAGGCAUCUCAUGCCGAAGCAUCCAUGACUGCUGAAUGAAUCCACUGAUUGAUUAGAAAGACAGAGAAAGGAGGAAGAAAUAGAAAAGGAAUGGGCCUGAACAAAGAAUAGAUGAACCAAUACCUUGUUCUGCCCAAAGAUACACAGAACUGUAUCCUUAUGUUCCUAAAGGUUUUCUGAGUGUUGAAACUUCAUUGAAAACCUGUUCUUUCAGUUAAAUGGGAUUCUACCAAAAAUGGUGAUAAACUCAGCUAUGUGUAUCUUUUCUGAUGACAACAUCCAACUGCAUUGCAAUGAUGUGCCAGUGCCAAAGUGUUUCUGUGUGUGGGUGAAAAGAUGUUAAUUAAUACUCAGACUGGUGAGGUGCAACUGAUUUUCAUGGCAAUUUUAAAAUCAUCAGUAUGCUUGGUCAUUUAUCCAGUUGUCUCCAUGCAGAUUCAGAAGCUCAGCCACAGACACCUCCAUCUGAAAUUCUUGGCCAGAGUUUAUUCAGUCCCAGAUUACCACCAAUGCAUGUGGAACCUAUGUCAUAAGAAGGCAUUUUUUAUGAGGUGCUGUUAAUUUCAGUGCACAAGCUGAACAGAACAAUAGAGGAAGCACGCAAAGGGGGCACACAUCAACCGCUGUGGUUUCUGGUUCAUGCCUGGGCCCCUGAUCCUCAAAGAAGGAGACCAAUGUCAGAGACAUCUGCACAUGGAGAUCAACUUGCAGGAUGAGGCAGGGUGAAAUUCUGGUGGUAGAAUUUGAUUAAUUGCCUUAUGAUUUGAAAACAGUUCCAUCUGUUUCUUCCUGCUUUCUGUGCAUGUGGUGUGUCUUCUCUGUCUUUAAAAUCUCUCUUCUGGAAGAGCUUGAGGAGUUUGAUGAUUAGCUUCUUCUCAUUGCCCUUCAGACAACUCUAGAUAUUUUCUCCAUCUUAACUCAGUUAUAUGCUCUAUGAUAUGAAGUAUGAGUAAGGGGAUGUCUGGAUUUUCCUGUCCUUUCAGGUAGCCUAUGUUAACAUUAGUACUGUAAUUCUGUGUACAGCCUCUCAGAUAUGCACUUCUCUUUUGCUCUUUGGUUUUCUCUUUCAUUUCUAUUUCUGGUUUGGAUUGUAAAUGAUGGCUCUUCACUGUUGUGACUUCCCCUUUGCUGCUGUGGGUUAAGCGUCUCUUUCAGUUCUACAUAUAAAAGAGAAAAAAAAAAGAUGAGACCAAAGGCUCUUAUGGUGCAGCUUUGUAGGUUUAGAAAGAUCUUCCCUGAUAUUUUAUUGCUGUGGACUGACUGACAUCACUUUAGCAUGUCUCCAAGUGCCUAUUAGCUCAUCUCUCACACUGAGAAAUAAAGGCUCCCAAGAAGCACUACAGAGAUAUUUAUCGGUGAGGGUUAGCCCCAGUAUAGACUGUACUAGUAUGAUCAUUCAAGGCUGUAUCCCCUCAGCUUCCAUGUUUGUUCAUGAUCACUUCAUUUUCUUUUAAAAUCUGCUGUGCAGUAUUUUUUUGUGCUAUAAGGCUCUGGGGGAAACAGAGGAGAUGAGGUACAGAGCUCGUAAGUGUUGUCUCCUCUCUUUCGCUCUUCAGAGGAGAUACCAGAUCUGUCAGGGCAGAAAAAAAAAGAGAAGUGGCACCAGCUGAGCAGGACAGGAGUAACACAGCUCCUGCCAGAUGCUUAAAUAACAGCAUGGGGCUGUGCAGUUCUGCAAAUGGGAUAUAGCCAGUACUUUAGGAAUUUGCUGCAGUUCCCAGUGCCAGCUCAUUCUAACUGGGCUAGCAUGUUGUACUGUCCUGUAAAAUUGUAUCUAGUGUCUAUCAAAUCUCAGUCUGCAUAAGUUGAAAUAUGGCUGAGUAUGAGAUAUUGCAGUCUUUUAUUAUACACCAGAGUACAAAAAGAUUCAAAAGAUGAAGUGCUGCCUUGGAUGAGGAGCUGUAGUAGGUUGGAGAGCUAAGGAAGCCUGAGUUGAGGCUCCUGAGUAACUAGUUGAUUUUCUUAAAGAAAUUUGUUUUUAAUAAGAACCUGCUGCCCUCCUUCCAGCUGCUGCUUUCCCAUCAGCAACGCAAGAGCUGUCAGCGUUGCCUGUCCAAACUGAGGUAUAGAUGUCUGGGCACAAAUCAGGAUGGAGGUGGAAUGUUGUUAACAGAGAGAACUAAGAGCCCAGAGAAGACAGAGCAUUUGGGAACUGAUGCCCUCUCUGGAAUAUUAAAAGACCUUCUACAUACCUCAGGGGUUAUGUCUAGAUGGAUGAGUGUGGAGAGUUGCUUGCCUGCUCUUAUACUUUGAGCUACCAGGCUGCAGGCCAGCUCUGAUAUGAAAACUGAAACCACAGCAUUGUGACACGGUGCUUGUAUUUACCAUAACUGUUCUCUCUGCAGGACUUAUCAACACAGCUCUGAGCUUUUGGUAAGUGCAGUUACCUGAUACACAGACCAGUCUGGAUAACAUCCAUCUGGCUCAGACUGUAAGCAGCUGCAUGCACCACCCUGCACGGGCACUUUUGUGAGUUGCAGUAGUCAGCUCCCACACAGCUACUGCAGCAGUCGUACACAGAUACAGUGAGUUGCUAGUCACUGUGCAGUGGAAGCAAACUGUUCCUGUGACAACAACACUCUUAGCAUAUAAUUUCAUGUUUCAUAGUAUAUAAUCCCUUCGGAUUGUUCAAGUAAAAUGUAAAAAUGACAACAUAUUGAAACCAAAUGAAGAAAAAAUUAAAACCAGAGCAGCUCUAAACUGACAUAUUUAAAAUUACUUUGAAAUGAAAUUAAGCUUUUCAAUAACAAAUGGGUUUCUUGUGGCUCCAAGACAAACAGUAGGGAAUGAAAUACAGACUUAUAUGUGCAUAAAUGAUUUAGGUGGUGAAUGGGGAAGAGAUGGUCAUAGAGGGCUGAGCUGAAGAAAGUACAUUUGCAAGUUCCUGAAAAACUCAUGUAGGAGAGAGUUCCACAGAAAAACUGAAUACUGUGACUCAGCUUGAUCCAGAUAAAGUUUUCAUAGGGGAAUAAAAGGCAGAACCUUUGAUCUUGGUUGCCGUGAUAGAAAAUUGAGUAAUAAAUAAUGGUUCUGUUAAUGUCUUAAUCAUAGCUUAUACAUAAUUUUCUCUUACCAACUUUCCUUUUUUUCUAGUUGUACUUUGACACAGCAUGAUUGCAUGAGUGUCUCAAGUAAACUCAAGAGCUCUUCUAGGAGGAGGCCUGACUCCUUGUAGCCCACCAAAGCUGGAUGUGUCAGAAGGGACUGGAUGAAAAGCAGCCAAGGGGACUUUCUGGCUGGGGAUUGUGUAGCUAGCCAUCAGCCUGCUUUCAUGGAAACACUAGUAAGAGAAACAUCCCCAGGGAACCAUGUGGGCAAAGGACACCAGAUGGAUCUAGGGAGUUCAGCUUCUUAAGCGACAUCUGCUGGUAUUGGAAGUAUCCAGAAAGCCACACCACACUUAAAAAUUAAACAAAACAAAAACCAAUCUGCAACAGGAAGAAGAACAACCCAAGAUAAGUUAGUUGCAAAAACCUGCAUUUUAACAUAAAAGCUUCAUGAAAACGUUGCGUAGCAGCAGUCAUGCCAGAUAGAGAUGAUUCAGUAUCAUAAUUGAGUUUGAGCCGAAUGAGAUCUGGUCAUGUCCAGAACUUUCAAGUAUUAAACUCUUGAUCCUGCUCAAAACAUGGUUAUUUACUAUGCCUUCUGGUUUACCUGCACAUUGCUCCUAAAGUAUGGGGAAAUCAAAUCACUUAAAAAUUCUGGUAAGUGAAGCUUUCUUGGAUUCUUGUGUUAGAGUCUUGUGAACUAGUUAAAGGCAGAAAACAGAUACAAAAUGGGUACACUGAUCGAACGGCAGGAAGAGGGAAUACCAAGGCUUUGAAUAGAAAACCUAUAAAUUUAUAAGAAAAUAUAUGAGAAAGCAUAUUUUUGAAACAAACAAACAAAAAAUGUAGUGCUACUCUGACAUUCUGUGAAAUUCUCAAUUUUGUGAUUGAAUUACUACAUUUUGUGAUUGAUAAAUAAGUUGGUGCCAUAGUGACUACCUGUAUAGAAAGCUGUGCAAGUUUCUGGAGCCCAAGUGAAAACUGAGUUAUUUAUAGUUUAACAUUUAAUUUCUUUUUAUGCUCCAUAUCUUUGAAACCAGUGUCAUUUUUAGCUCGUCAAAGUACAGAGGCACCAGUUUUGUUUUUCCAAACCUAUGUAUUUAAGGAAGGGUGUUUAAAUGGUGCUGGCAACCUUGUAUUUCUAAAUGUUAGUGUUCUGGUUUUCAUCUAAAUAAAGAAAGCAGGAUUUGCAGUUGAAAAAUAAGUUUGUAGGCUCAAAAAGUACAAUUGGAAAAAAUAUGUGAAGAGACAAAAAUGCCAGUCAAAAAUAUCUGUGUUAAAAUUGGACCAUAACACCUGCUGCAAUGUUACUGUUACCAGUGCAGUUGCUGUAGAAAGCAGAGUACCAGGGCCAAGUACAGAAGCAAGAGGAAUUAGCUUUAGCUACUCCAGCAAGGCAGAGCCCUGUGAAUCACACUAGGAAGCAUAGAUCAAAUCCUCUUAUGUAAACAUCAUACGGGGCUGGCACUAAUCCUCCUCACGCCCGAGGAGGACUGCUGAUGUGGCAUUCUCCACAUUUGCUUUGCGUAAUUGUGGGCAGUCGUUCUUGGGCACAGGAGGCCUAAGUGUAAGCCUUCAUAUUGUCUGCUCGGGGUGAGCAAAACUAGAUGGGGAAAAGCAAACUCUGGACAUGGCCAUGGUCUGCUAGGGCCACCUCAUACACCUCUUGUCAUCGCUGCUGUCCACAGAGACAGGACAUCCUUCCCCCAGCACACCAAUGUCUCAUGCCUGGGUCCAAGCCCAUGAAGAGCUGGGUGGCCCAUCUCAGUCCCAGGUCCUGCUACAUCUCUGGAGUCAUGUCAUUGUUCUCCUCCUGGGUUUUCCAGCACUUGUCUGCUUCAGUGCAGAAUGCUGAGGACUCAUCUCCUGUUUCUCACCAAUGUUUAACUUGCUGAAUCAGAACUCCAUGAAAUGAUUCAGACCUGGUUUCUGGUGACUAAUACUGGACACUCCCUUCCUCCUAGGCAGUGGUAGCUCCUCCGUGCUCCCAAGCCCUGUUCAGCCAGACAGCUACAGGAUUGGAGACCAGAUGUGUUGCUGUCCCACUGAACAAGUGGUGGCUGGUUUUUGUUUAUACAGCAAUGUGAAUUUUUAGUCUGAACUUAUUUUUUUUCUUUUCAGUCUGUGCAGUUAUAUGAUCAAAAAGUAUAAUCCCUGCACACACAGAUCCUAUAGUUUAUAGAGUUGGUCUUGAAGAAAGUCUCGGUGGGGUACUGUGGAAUUUCUGCUGUUGCUUUUUUCAUUCAUCUGGGAUCAGAUGUGGAAUAAAGUAAAUAUCUUAGGAUGAAGACUUAAUACAGGCAUAGUUUUGUCUAUGUAAAGCUUUCUUCUACCACGUUAUUUUUUCAUUCGCACAAAGAAGUCUAAAACUUAGAGGAGCACUUUGAGUAAGAGCUCUGGCCCAACUUCAUUUUGCCUCUCCUCACCCAUCAAACACAAAAAAGUGUAAUAUAAUACAAACACAGCAAUUUCCCACACAGAGAACCAUACAGCGUCACUGCCAGGUGCUCUCUGCAACUUUUCCCUGUUUUGUUCAACAAGAAUGUGAAAGCAUUAGCAGUUUGAUCACUGUUGUAAUUUCCAUGGUUGCAGGAAGCCCAGCAGUCCUUGCAGGCUCCAGCAUGAGACUGCCUGCUCAAGUCUGGGAGAUACCCCACAUUCUUCAUUCUAGAUUAUCAGUGAGACAGGAAUGUUUGUUCUGCUGUCCAGGUCUAUCCAUCGUGUGCAAUUUGUCUCUUUAGAGUUUACGUGCAGAAGCCACUGACAUCCCCAGGGAGUUAAACCUUCUUAGCUAAUCUUCUAAAAAAGCUUCAGGGACCUUUUGGCCUAGGCUGGAUCUUCUUCCUAUGGGUUUUCUUGGGUAUCUUCAGAUUUUGUCUCUUAAAUUAGAUAAUUUCUCAUCCUCUGAAAUAUCUCUGGUGUAUGCAUGAAUAUGAAAGGUACUCUACAGACCUUGCUGUGGUUUGUGCUCUGUCUUAAUCUGUCAGUGUCAGUGUAACUGGAUGAUGCAGACUCCCGGUCAAAACCAAUAACACAUUCAGCUCUUGACUGCAGGAAAGUUUGCUGCUAUUUGGAAUUACAUUUCUUACAAUUAUUGCAAAGCUUUGGCUCAGUUGUUCAGGAAGCUUUGGCUCAGUUGUUCAGGAAGAUGCUGAGUAGGAUUUUUUUAAUAGUUCCAGUAUGGGAAGUUCAAGAUGAUGUAGCUGUGGUCAGGCCAUUUUCCACCACCCAAUGUAAAACCUCACAGUUAUCCACUGUGACACGAAAAAAAAAAAAACAAAGGCACAUUGUGGUAUGUCACCUGAUACUACACCCAGUUGCAUUGCUCAAAUCCUUGCAAAUUUAAGGUAAAUGGGUUAUAUUAGAGCAAUAGCUUCUAUUCUUUGUCUUCUGUGAAUAUUUCCCUAAUACCUGGGCAAAGUGGGGUAUUUCACACUUCUUUGCCAUGAAAUGCUGUGAAAUGUUUGGAUGUUGUCCUUAGAGUCUGGUAAUGUCAAUCUCUUUUUUUGUUCUUAGAGCUCAACUUUUGAUGCCACAUGAGGCAGCAUCCUGACAAAGAGGAAACCCGAUGGCACAGCUGUAGUUUCAAAUACUCCAACAGGUUUACGAAGGCAAAGUAUUGCACAGUGGCCUAGUUUAGAACUGUCACAGGGAGCAAUUAAUCUUUGUUACUCCAUACUCAUUCUAGAAGCAUUUGAAGCCCAAAGAACUCCCUGGAGCCACAUUUCUUCCUGCCAGCUCUCUGUAGAGGGGCUCAGUUCUGCUCCAGAGCACAUUUACUCGCUUCAGUAGCCCAGAACCCCUCCAGGGUCACUACAUGAAGGCAAUUCCCAGUACAAUAGCAAUAGAAACACCGAUCACACAACAUAAUCCACUGAGUUUUCACACACCCUGAAGCUGAUGGGUGAUGAAUUUCUUUUGGCCUUUGCAUUAGCCGGUCAUUAGUAGCUCCUGGUGUUAUUCAGGCAGUACAUUUCCUUCCCCUUCAGCCUCCUAAGUAUUUUCCAUGGAUCAUAUUUUCACCAAAUCACAACUCUUCAGCUGUUAAUUUCUGCAGAGAGCCUGGACAGCUCUUCACAUGUGUCGCUCCAGUUGUUGGGUGCCGACAUCUCUGUAGCUCCUGCUUUCCUGGAUGCAGCUUCCCUCUAUUUGGGCAACUCCAUCUCCUUUGGCCUUUGUCUCUGUAUCAUCUGUGAAUACCACCUGGCCCAGGUGUCCCUAAGAAACAGAUUCUUUCACCUGACCCAUGGGAUGCCUAUGAAUGCAUUGCAGUUGGGCCUUUUCCAACUAUUUAGUCACUUCACUAGAAAUGUUUCCUUGAAAUGCUGCAUCUGGUCUCAAUGACUCACCCUGAGGCUGGGAAUUCACAGCUGAUACCUUUAAAAAAACACCCUAAAUUUCUGUCUCAGUGUUUAUAGCUCUGUCAGAAGCCUGUUCAUGGCAUUAUCAGUGAUGUUAUUUUCCGCAGCUGACAAAGUAUGAGUUACCUUUCUGCAAACUCUUUACAAAGUAAAUGUUAAUACAAAAGUUUCUAGUCUCCCACUGGGCACACAAUCUGCCUGUAUUACUCAUUCCAAAUUCAAUACACAAAGUUCAGCCUCAUCAAAACUGUCUUCUGACCAGAAGCAAAGGGAAACCCCCAGCAAAAGCUUCCUCAAUGAAAAUAACCACUCCUGUGGAGGUUGCCCUUUUGCUGCUUUUUUGUUUGCUGUUUAAUCGGCAUUUCCAAGGAGCCAAAUUUCUGCUUUUUUCCUUCCUGCAAGAAACAGAAAAGAUUUAUAAGGCUCUGCUUUGCAAGAUGCAUGGCCUACAUAUUAAAAAUUGUGACAAAAGAUUUUGGCCUUGACAUCCAGAAGCACUGUUAAGAUGCUGUCCUGCUUUACUUUUCCCUUCAGAGAGUAUUAGCUUAGUGACUGGAAAGCCCUCCUGCUUCUUUCUAGAAGUGCUUUUUCUGUUUUGUGCCCACUGCCUUAAGUGCAAAGUACACAAUGGCUACCAGGGAAAGGCCCAGCAUGGAGAGCAGCAUUGCCCUCCUUUACUGCUUCUGGCUCAAAGGCAGCAAUUAGGGUAUAAAGCUGGAUAACAUGUUAUUAAUAAAAUACAGCACCAUCACUUGGAGGAAGUGCUGUCUGCCCUAAUAAGUUCAAACUACUUAUUCCCUCAGCUGCCUAGGCACUGGGUGUUGCAACCUAGAGGCAACUGAGUUGCUAGAAAGUUAAUGGUUGAGUUAAAGACCUGCUCAGGUUUUUGCGGAGGAAGGCUUAAGUCAAGUCAAGGCAAUGAUGGGACACUCAGAAGACUCUUCUGAACCUGAAUCUGGCCCUUGAACUGGGAGCUAUCCCUGCAGAGUCUUACUUUUAGGUGACCAGACUUGCUGCUAAUAUACUUUUCUUGGUAAAUGAACGGCAACCAAGGCAAUUUGCCAAACUGUCUUGUCCUCUUUCUUAGAGUGAAAGAAUCACUCACACCUCUGCCAGUUUGUUUACUGUGUGGUCAAAGAUUUGUAGCGUCAUCAAAGGCACUGAUCCAGCUAUUAGGCACUUCUGCAAAUACUAUAUAAAACCAAUAAGCAGCUAAAUGCUAUAUGAUGCUGAAGAAUUUAUAUAUGCCUGUUUCAGUUCUGUAAUGUGUGCCAUUCCUAUGAAUCCAGGCAUGAAGAGCAAAACCACCUGUAUUUUAAAAAUGCUAAAAGAAAUUACUUAAAUACAGCUAUUGGAAGUGGAACAAAGGAUGCCAGCUACAACAGGAAAUCGACUUUUCUGGGUGUUCACAAAGUUGUGCUUUCUGCUUGUCUUACUUUGUUGGUUUUCUGUAUCUCCAUGGUCUCACUACUUUUUGUGCUCGACUGCUGAAUGGUCAUGGGCUUCUUUUGAUUAAACAGACACAGCUGAAGUUUUCAUGCUGCCUGAAUUCUUUAAUUGGAAAAGACUCAAGACAAAUAUGAGAGGCCACCAGAUUCCUUCCUGUCAUCUGUAAGUAAUUUUCAAAGACUACAGAGAAUGUUGUAGACAAGUCAAGUUUUCAGUAAUCUCAGAAGGAGAGAGGGAAUAUCCUAAAGUAAAUACCAAGUAGUAUAUGUUGUCUGUCCUGGGAGGCCAACAUGCCAAUCUAACUGAAAAUAUGCUCUUCAUUAGAAAACUACUUGCAGCUUUAAUCAGCUUUAGCUGAUUUUUUUUCAGAGUAACAUAUUUACCAAGGUGCAGAGCAACCUUGAGUAUAAGGUGACCUCUCACUCUCUGUUUUAGUAGGAAAAAAAUCAAAUAUCAUUGUGUGCUGAAAAUUCCCUUAAUUAUCAUUGCAACACACAACAGACCUACUUCUGACAAGCCAUCCCUAAUGCCUUAUGGAAUUAGGAGAAUUAAUGUGAAACAGGAAGUAUGCUGGUUGUAAGGGCUGGGCUUGUUCUCAGACAAGACAGUCAGUGGUUCCACGUGAAGUCAAGAAAAAAUCAGCAAAUAAAAGUUGUACCUCUUUAAAUCUUGAAGGGUAUUUACAGGAGAAUUUCUGGAGAGGAGUGUACAGAAAUGACAGUAAAGACUUCUUCAGUAAA